ACAAAUUUUUUUAAAAAUAUAUAUAUAUAUAUAUUUUUAACUGGAGGACCUCCUAAAGUGAAGGGAAGGGGGUUGGGUUGUAUGGAAAAUAACGAAAAUGCCCUUAUUUUUUUAAGUACUACUUGAUAUACGACGCCGUUUAAGGCUAAUAUCUUAAAUAUACGUACUGAAGAGGCUCGCCAAAGUCAUUCAGUUGAUAAGCUUGUAUUGUUAAGCAACGAAUGGUCUGAUUUUGUUGUCGGUUCAUCAUGUUAACGUCAUGUAACUCUGCUUUUCUAUAUCAACUGGUUAUUGUAGGGAUCACUUGCGCUGGAAGAUACACUCUCCAAAGAGAUAGAUAUGCUUCAGACUUAUCUUGAAGGAAUUCAUCAGGACUCAAUGUUAGACUUGGUGUUAUCAUCUCUUCCACAAGAAGCACGAUCCAAUCGAACAGAUACAGAUACAUAAGUUUAAUAUCUUGAAAGGAACACUUGGACACUUCAGUCUCACUCCACCUGGUGGCGGAGGAAUCUUAGCACUUUCACUAGCACAUAUGGCAUCGUGGCUCAAGCUAUGCUAUAAUGCUACUACUUAAGAAACAAAAGGUAUACACUCAAAACUCUGAAUUUGAAUUGCCUCCUUUGAUUUUUUCUUUCUGUUACUGUUCAAGGAAGUGGACCAAUCUAACGGAGGCGUAAUUACAAACGUCGAUAAUUGUUUGGCCGAGGGCAAACUAGCAGAAGCAGCUGCUGCACUUGAAGAAGGUGUGUUUAAAGGAAGUAAAGCAGAGGAAAUAGUGAAUGAGAAUGGGUGAAACGUGCAAGAAACAGAGCCAUCACAGAACUGGCUGUAACUCUUCUCCAAAUCUUAUGCAACUUGUGCUACUCUCACUUGAUCAUUGAUCAUCGAUUCUCAAUUGUUCUGUUUAUAUCUCUAUAAAGCAGACACUGUUUCUUUUAGGACUCAUCACUGGUUUGGUGUUUAAAAUCACAGUUGUUCUUAUCUGAGUUAGAAUUUUAACAGAUAUUUUGUGAGCAAGUUUAAAAUGCGCUUAAAUUUUUGUUAGCAUC
Molecule: long non-coding RNA, 1049 nt
Organism: Raphanus sativus (radish)
Lineage: Eukaryota; Viridiplantae; Streptophyta; Magnoliopsida; Brassicales; Brassicaceae
Exons: 2
Source: RefSeq, a predicted model, not a curated record